GGUGGCGAGCGGCGGGCAGCGGGCGGGUCGGGCUCUGGCCCCGCGGGCGCUGUGCUUGGCGGGGAAACUUCUCUUCCUUUCCUGGGGAGGAAAAAAAAGAGAGAGAGAGAGAGAGAAAAUCAAGUCGCAGCCGGCUUGGGCCGGUGUUGCGGGCGGGCGUGGGAGACGCUGAGGCUGCGAGGGCUUCCCCAGCUGUUUCCAACUGACCCAAGUGUGAAGUGAGGUGUGAACAGGCAGGCCUCUGACUGAGCCCGAGCCCACGGACUGCCCAGGAGAGAGGCCCUUGAGGACCUGGCCUGCAACAGACUGGCUGGAGGGUCCCCCACUGACUGAGGCCGUCCUGCCCGAAAGUCAGGAAACACAGGGGCCCUGGUUGUGUAAUAAGAGUACAUUUGAAAAAUGCCUUGUCCUUAUCUGAAAACCCAGAUGGAAGAAUACCAGCCCUGAAGUUGCUUUUCUUAAAACUGGAAUGAAAGAUUUAUGAAAUUCUCUACCUAGGAGGAGUUAGAGGAAGACUUUCUGGCUAAGUAGAAGUAGAACCUGACACCAUUGACUCCUGGGAACGUGGAAGGAGUUGCUGCUCUAUGAAUUCCAUAAUUUUCUCAGGGUGUCUGUCUUUUUCUCCUAACUGCCUGCUUCUACUUAGAAAAUUCAAGCCUUCAGAUGCUGUUGCACUUAUCACUUUGCUCAAGCUUCUCCAAAGCUCCCCACUAUCAAAGGACUUAAACUUCAAGCUUCCUUCUUUCCUUGUCUACUCUUCCUUCACUGUAGGAUGUCUCCCUCACCCCCUGAAAAUCCCCUCUAUACAUCCUGUCAUCUCUGUUAUUAUUUAUAUCCUGUUAUUAUUUAUAUCUGUUAUUAUUUAUAUCCUGAUUCUGCCCUGAGUGACCCUAAAAAUCCAAAGACUCCCAUAUGUAAAAAUAUCCCUCAGAGUUGAGCAAAGAUCAGCUCCUGAAAGAGAAAUUUUGGUGACAAAGGGACUAUAAAAAGUCCAUCAGACAAAUUCUUUAAAAAUAUGAAUAUCAAAAUGAUUACAGAAAUGCUGAGGGAUUUUUAUAGAUUCAAGGAGUCUAAGGAGAUAUGAUAACUCAAUAGAAUAUCAGAUCCUAGACUAGAUCGUGUACUGGAGAAAUGCUCUAAAGGAUAUUACUGGCUAAACUGACAUCACUGAAAUACAGUAGACAAAAUUCUAUGUUAUUGUUCAAAUUACCAAAGUUUAUAACUAUCCUGGAGAUAGGAAACAGAAUAUCCUUGCUCUUAGGAAAUAUUCACUGAAAAAUUUAGGGGCAAAGUGUAAUGAUAUAUGCAACUUACUCCCAAACAUUUAGGAAAAGAUAUGUAUAUGGGUAGAGAGAGCAAAGGAAACAAAAUGCUAAAACUAGGUGAACCCGGGCCAUCGGAUUAGCAGUGUUCUUGCAACUUUUCUGUAAAUUUGAUUAUUUUUCUAAAUACAAUUUAAAAAAAAAUGGCCAAUGCCUCUGUUUCCCUGAAUUUUCUCUCCUUUGAGAUUCUCUGCCUUCAAUCACAUAGCCCCCACACGUAUGCUGUUCCACCUUCAAAACAGUUGUACCAUGCACCAUCUCAGUGAAGACCAGCAGGAUACACUUAUCACAACUGAGGUCCUAAUGUUUCUGUUUACAGAAUAUAGAAAAAGAGCACAAGGGAAAAUGAAAUAAAAACACACAUAAUGUACAAAAAUAUAAAAUUAAUACAGAAAUAUGAAGAAUUAUGUUUAUAACAUGGAGGUUUCAGGAACUGAGAAUCAAGAGUGUAGGUUUUGGAAUCAGUCACAGCUGAGUUCUAAUCUUUGCUCUGUCCACUAACAACCAUGUGAU
Neofelis nebulosa (Clouded leopard) is the source of this 1835-nucleotide long non-coding RNA. RefSeq lists it as uncharacterized. The transcript has 5 exons. NCBI's taxonomy places the organism in Eukaryota, Metazoa, Chordata, Mammalia, Carnivora, Felidae. The record is from RefSeq and is a predicted model, not a curated record.